Molecule: ribosomal RNA, 395 nt
Filed under: uncultured bacterium
Lineage: Bacteria
Description: bacterial SSU rRNA
Rfam family: Bacterial small subunit ribosomal RNA
Source: RNAcentral
CGGAGAAUUUUAUUUCGGUAGAAUUCUUAGUGGCGAACGGGUGAGUAACGCGUAGGCAACCUGCCCUUUAGACGGGGACAACAUUCCGAAAGGAGUGCUAAUACCGGAUGUGAUCAUCGUGCCGCAUGGCAGGAUGAAGAAAGAUGGCCUCUACAAGUAAGCUAUCGCUAAAGGAUGGGCCUGCGUCUGAUUAGCUAGUUGGUAGUGUAACGGACUACCAAGGCGAUGAUCAGUACCCGGUCUGAGAGGAUGAACGGCCACAUUGGGACUGAGACACGGCCCAAACUCCUACGGGANGGCAGCAGUGGGGAAUCUUCCGCAAUGGACGAAAGUCUGACGGAGCAACGCCCGCGUGAGUGAUGAAGGAUUUCGGUCUGUAAAGCUCUGUUGUUUAU